AAAAAAGGGCAAAAUAACCAAAGCCCUUAAGCCCAUAAAAGGGCUGUUGAAAAGCGUAAGGCAGGCUUAAAGACUUAAGCCUUCGAACGAAAAAGAAAUGCCAAGCAGACUUCUGCGUAUAAGAAAUAGACGCACGUCCCCGCGAAAAUACUCACGCAAGCAAGGAAAAUUCUAGGCUUCUUAUCAAUCACUAAUUCUUGAACUCAGAAUCGAUUAUUUGACUGGUGUCAAUUGGACCGGGGUCUACGUAUUGGCUCGAGAAGUUUUCAGGAACCAGUUUUGCAGGCGAGCGGGCUACUGGUUAGGACUUUCUUCUCUUCCAGUGCUAUUGAUCUUUCUCUUUCUUUGCAUGUACGGAAAACUACAUGGUUGGUCGCCAAGGAGAGAGGACUAAAGUGAUCGGUGAUUUACUUAGCAACCUCAUGAACGCUAUCAAUGAAAGCUGUGAAACAUUAGGCAAUGAUGUGACACCCACUUCCUCCUCGGGCGCGAGGGGUUGCCUCCCCCCAUUGAGCAUAACAAAGCCAAAUGGAAAAGGAGCCUCCACUUCCAUAGGAGAAGAGACGACACAUGCCAUGGAAAGGCUCCUCGAAGCGUGGUUGACCGAUACGCUAGUAAGCACACUCAACUAGCCCACUCCAUGCAUGACUACAGGGUCUGCAAUAGCCCACACAAGGCAACAAACAGACGAACAGAGCGACCAACCAGACCCUCCAACACUAGGUAUAACUCACAAUGUUACUAACAAUGCAGGUGAUAGCGUCCUCGCCGUUGUUCUAAAGAGGAUGGAAGAAAUGAAGAAUGAAAAUAAAGUGCUCAGAGUUCAAUGGAAGAAUACCAAGAAGUGAAGACAAAACCAAAUGGAAAAGGAUCCUCCACGUCUAUAGGAGAAGGGACGACACCGUCUAUGAAGAGGCUUCUCGAAGCGUGGUUGACCAAUACGCUAGUAAGAACACUCACCUAGCCCACUCCAUGCAUGACUAUAGGGACCGCAAUAAGCCCACAUAGUGCAACAAGCAGACGAACAGAGCGACCAACCAGACCCUCCAAUACCAGGUAUAACUCACAAUAUUACUAACAAUGCAGGUGACAACGUCCUCGCCGCUGUUCUAAAGAGGAUGAAAGAAAUGGAGAAUGAAAAUAAAGCGCUCAGAGAUCAUAUGGAAGAAUACCAAGAAGGGACGACAAAACCAAAUGGAAAAGGAUCCUCCACGUUCAUAGGAGAAGGGACGACACUGGCCAUGAAAAGGCUCCUCGAAGCAUGAUUGACCGAUACGCUAGAAAGCACGCUCAACUCACCUACUCUAUGCAAGACUACAGGGACCGCAAAGAGCCCACACAAUGCAACAAGAAGACAAACAGAGCGACCAACCAGACCCUCCAACACCAGGAAUAACUCACAAUGUUACUAACAAUGCAGGUGACAGCGUCCUUGAUCACAGCAGACUCAACCUAAGGAUGAAUGGGCGUUAAUACCUUUACCCAAUAGCGAUAUCGGGGUCGAUUUUCCACUGGGAACUUCAAAUUGGAGUUGAGUAUUUGUAUGGUCUAGGAUUGUGUUUUAGCUCAUAAUUGAUCUUCUAACAUUUUUGGUUUUCUUUUGUUUAAGAGCUACAAUUUAUCAACUACAGUUGUAAAACUAGGUUAUGCUAAAA
Molecule: non-coding RNA, 1655 nt
Organism: Nicotiana tabacum (common tobacco)
Lineage: Eukaryota; Viridiplantae; Streptophyta; Magnoliopsida; Solanales; Solanaceae
Source: RefSeq, a predicted model, not a curated record